Pieris brassicae (large cabbage white) is the source of this 593-nucleotide long non-coding RNA. RefSeq lists it as uncharacterized. Lineage: Eukaryota; Metazoa; Arthropoda; Insecta; Lepidoptera; Pieridae. The transcript has 5 exons. The record is from RefSeq and is a predicted model, not a curated record.
ACGGAAAUACUCGCUCAUAUAAUAAGUCCUAUUAAAUAUGAUAUAUCUGACACGAUGAUAUAUGUAUAAAGUCAUAAAUAUACCAAUUCCCAUGGAUUUUCCUAUGAACAGCGGUAGUGGGACCAACUUCUUCCAAAGUUAUGUAAAUUAUGUGUUUUCGUAACAUAAUAAUCGGUGGCGGCGGAGGCGGAUGUUGUAUCCCUUUACCAAACCCCUGCGCGUGUUGCUGUCGCUGUUGCUUCGAGCUCAUCUGUAAGCUGCUCUGCUGUCUCUUAAUUUUAGUCUUGAUUGCGGCUGGGCUAUUCUUGUUGGCUGAAGCGCUGUGUUCGUAGUUCCUCGCAGAAAAACUUGACAAAGUUGGCGUAACGUCUACAUAAGUGAUGGUGCUCUAAAUAUCGCAGCCCAAGCCUUCAUUUGUGUUGUAUCCUGUGCUGUCGGGCUAAUAGUCGUCCUUAUAUUACUGGCCGCAGACGUUUUUUAAAGUAUGAUUUUAAACCCAAAAUAUUGGUGCUGUAAAAGAAUGGACGUCAAGUUAUCAAGUAUAUAUUUGAAAUGGUAUUGUGAAUGUAUUUGUACAUUUAAUUAUGUAUCGC